This 328-nucleotide long non-coding RNA is filed under the name Mytilus galloprovincialis (Mediterranean mussel). Lineage: Eukaryota; Metazoa; Mollusca; Bivalvia; Mytilida; Mytilidae. The record is from RNAcentral.
CUGUUAGCUAUUACCUUAUCUGUACGUUCCGCAUUUGACAGGCGCACCACCAAACGGUGUAUUUAGGAUUUUGCUAUAUACACGGGUCAUAAUCAAAGGGCUGACACUACUAAAUUCAAUCAUUGUCAAAUUGUUCCCUAUUGUAGCUUUAUUCAGCAAUCAGCAAGACUUUCUAAGAUAACUAAUAUAGGACAAUGCUGUUGAUUAAAAAAUACCCCAUUCCUGGAUAGCCUGGACCUUUUGUUUUCCAAAUAAUUAAUAUUUCCAAUAAUUGAUAAGUUCCAGGUCGACGGGUUCAAACAGAAAGAUUUGAAAGCAGAGAAAACUG